UCCGGGGGAGGCGGCAGCUCCUCGUCCGCGGGCCCGAGGUGCCCAGGCUGAGGCCGGAGCGGUGGCCCGUCCAGCGGGGUCUGGGCAGGGGGUGGGGGUGGGGGAGAGAAGGUCACCAGCUCUCUCUCUACAGAGCAGGGUAAGAACCACUGCCUCUCCCCACCUCGGGAGGGUCUGCGAGUCUAGACAAACACAGGGGAGUGGCGGUGCCAGUUUUAGCUGCCUGGCCUCUGCGAGCUCUAAGGCUGCACCUGCUCCAUCCUGCUCAGGGGAGGUGCUGCUCUCUUCCUCCACCCAGGGAGGCCGUCGCCAGGUGACAGCAGCCUCCCUACCAGCCCCAUGGAGACCAGAUAGAUUUAUAAGAUCAAGUGUGUGACAACUGAAGGGGAGGAGCACAGUUGGGCACAGAUCUCUUGGUAUCACAGCACGGGGUUCCCCAGGAAAUGAAAGCUUGUGACGC
This 460-nucleotide long non-coding RNA is filed under the name Dasypus novemcinctus (nine-banded armadillo). Its description in RNAcentral is "lncRNA (ENSDNOG00000051925.1)". Lineage: Eukaryota; Metazoa; Chordata; Mammalia; Cingulata; Dasypodidae. The record is from RNAcentral.